GGUGCGCCUUAUGCAUGCAAGUCGAGCGAAGCUUUUCAGUAGUUUACUACAGAAAAUGACUGAGCGGCGAACGGGUGAGUAACGCGUGAGCAAUCUACCUUAGUUACUGGGAUAGCCCGAGGAAACUCGGAUUAAUACCGGAUAAUCUUAUUACAUCACAUGAUAUUUUAAGUAAAGGUCAGCCGAACUAAGAUGAGCUCGCGUUCUAUCAGCUUGUUGGUGGGGUAAAAGCCUACCAAGGCUACGACGGAUAGCUGGUCUGAGAGGACGAUCAGCCACACUGGGACUGAGACACGGCCCAGACUCCUACGGGAGGCUGCAGCAGGGAAUAUUGCGCAAUGAGCGAAAGCUUGACGCAGCGACACCGCGUGUGGGAUGACGGUUCUAGGAUUGUAAACCACUUUCAGGAGGGAAGAAAAUGACGGUACCUCCACAAGAAGCCCCGGCCAACUACGUGCCAGCAGCCGCGGUAAUACGUAGGGGGCGAGCGUUGUCCGGAUUUAUUGGGCGUAAAGAGCUCGUAGGCGGUUCAACAAGUCGGUCGUGAAAGUUCAGGGCUUAACCCUGAAAUGUCGAUCGAUACUGUUGUGACUAGGAUAUGGUAGAGGUGAGUGGAAUUCCGAGUGUAGCGGUGAAAUGCGUAGAUAUUCGGAGGAACACCAAUAGCGAAGGCAGCUCACUGGACCACUAUCGACGCUGAGGAGCGAAAGCUAGGGGAGCAAACAGGAUUAGAUACCCUGGUAGUCCUAGCUGUAAACGAUGGAUACUAGAUGUAGGAAUUGGAUUGACGAUUUCUGUAUCGUAGCUAACGCGUUAAGUAUCCCGCCUGGGGAGUACGGU
This 840-nucleotide ribosomal RNA is filed under the name uncultured bacterium. RNAcentral's name for it is "bacterial SSU rRNA". It matches the Rfam family "Bacterial small subunit ribosomal RNA", at positions 41 to 886 of the family's 1533-position model. The record is from RNAcentral.